Molecule: ribosomal RNA, 253 nt
Filed under: uncultured bacterium
Lineage: Bacteria
Also listed under: 1 other name
Description: partial 16S ribosomal RNA
Rfam family: Bacterial small subunit ribosomal RNA
Source: RNAcentral
UACGUAGGGACCAAGCGUUGUCCGGAAUCAUUGGGCGUAAAGAGCGUGUAGGCGGCUUGUUAAGUCUUGCGUGAAAUCUCGGGGCUCAACCCCGAGCGGUCGUGAGAAACUGGCAGGCUAGAGUGCGGGAGAGGAGAGUGGAAUUCCUGGUGUAGCGGUGAAAUGCGCAGAUAUCAGGAAGAACACCCGUGGCGAAGGCGGCUCUCUGGAACGCAACUGACGCUGAGACGCGAAAGCGUGGGGAGCAAACAGG